GCUUGUCUCAAAGAUUAAGCCAUGCAUGUCUAAGUAUAAACUGCUUUAUACUGUGAAACUGCGAAUGGCUCAUUAAAUCAGUUAUAGUUUAUUUGAUGGUACUUACUUACUCGGAUAACCGUAGUAAUUCUAGAGCUAAUACGUGCGUAAAUCCCGACUUCUGGAAGGGACGUAUUUAUUAGAUAAAAGGCCAGCCGGGCUUUGCCCGACCUGCGGUGAAUCAUGAUAACUUCACGAAUCGUAUGGCCUUGUGCCGACGAUGUUUCAUUCAAAUUUCUGCCCUAUCAUGCUCUCGAUGGUAGUGUAUUGGACUACCAUGGCUCUCACGGGUAACGGGGAAUUAGGGUUCGAUUCCGGAGAAGGAGCCUGAGAAACGGCUACUACAUCUAAGGAAGGCAGCAGG
This 403-nucleotide ribosomal RNA is filed under the name uncultured Chlamydomonadales. RNAcentral describes it as "partial small subunit ribosomal RNA". It matches the Rfam family "Eukaryotic small subunit ribosomal RNA", at positions 30 to 432 of the family's 1831-position model. The record is from RNAcentral. Lineage: Eukaryota; Viridiplantae; Chlorophyta; Chlorophyceae; Chlamydomonadales.